UCUGCAGAAAGAUGAAAGGUCCUCGUCUCGUCCGCGUGUCCAAGCUAGAAAAGACCACGCUGCGUGCAGGGCCGCAUUCAUGCUUAAGAGAGUUGUUGGUGAAGGUUGUGUGAGGGAUGCAGGUGGGUUGACAAAGAACAUUUAAGCUGGAAAUUCCACACUGAGGUUGGACAUGGAGAGGGAAAGGAAAAUAGGGCAUGGACUAGCCGGGGAAAUGUGCUGGGAUGUCGGUGCAGCAAGAUGCUACAGGAAACCAAUGAUGUCAAGUUGUAUGGCUUAGAGCAAGACAGCUAAUAUCUCUCUGGUCAUCACAUUCCUCAUCUGUGAAAUAGCAAUCAUGAUGACGAUCUAAGGUGAUGUGAGGAUGACAUAGAAUACGCCCCUUCAUGCCCAUCUCAGAACAAACACAAUCUGCAUUCAGAACAGGACCCUUUACAAGUUGAAUGGAGUUAUUUUGGAUGUGACUCAUGGUUUAAUCCCCCAAGGACCAGAAGCUCUACUUCAAAGAAAAAAGAAAAAUAAGAAAAAGCUGAAGUAUGGGAAUCUUUUCAACUGUUACAACGCUGCAAAGAAUAUUUGUUUUCCAUUCUUCCACAAAGGGGAAGCACAUACAUGGCCAUUGUGAUUUUGCUGACCCAAGGCCCCUACCAAGCUCCAUUUGUUGAGACAGAAUCCCUCAGAUGCAGGACAUCUACUGUUGAAGCAGUUAUCAGCAAGCAUUGGAACCCUCAGUAGA
Myotis brandtii (Brandt's bat) is the source of this 736-nucleotide long non-coding RNA. RefSeq lists it as uncharacterized. The transcript is spliced from 6 exons. Lineage: Eukaryota; Metazoa; Chordata; Mammalia; Chiroptera; Vespertilionidae. The record is from RefSeq and is a predicted model, not a curated record.